UACGUAGGUGGCAAGCGUUGUCCGGAUUUACUGGGCGUAAAGAGCGCGCAGGCGGUCGUUCAAGUCGCGUGUGAAAGCCCCCGGCUCAACUGGGGAGGGUCACGCGAUACUGAUCGACUGGAAGGCAGGAGAGGGUAGUGGAAUUCCCGGAUGUAGUGGUGAAAUGCGUAGAUAUCGGGAGGAACACCAGUGGCGAAGGCGACUACCUGGCCUGUUCUUGACGCUGAGGCGCGAAAGCUAGGGGAGCAAACGGG
Molecule: ribosomal RNA, 254 nt
Filed under: uncultured bacterium
Lineage: Bacteria
Description: partial 16S ribosomal RNA
Rfam family: Bacterial small subunit ribosomal RNA
Source: RNAcentral